This is a long non-coding RNA of Bolinopsis microptera, 448 nucleotides long. RefSeq lists it as uncharacterized. The record is from RefSeq and is a predicted model, not a curated record. The transcript is spliced from 2 exons. Lineage: Eukaryota; Metazoa; Ctenophora; Tentaculata; Lobata; Bolinopsidae.
GGGUUGGUUUAGACGCAAGAAGAAGUCCAGGAUGGAGCCAGCAGGUGAUGGACCAGGUCCCUCUGGUGGAGCCCCUGGAGGAAUGGGAGGAGGAAGUCCUGGAGCUGGUCCAGGUGGAGAACAUGGCGGGGAAGGAGGUGGAGAAGGCGGUGGGUUCUGCUCAAGAUUCUUCAGACGGCUUUGUCUCUGUUCGUAUUGCUGCUACUCCGAGUAGAGCUCAAAUCAUUGAGGAAAGCAGCAGUCUGUGAACCCGAUGGUUGGAUCUCGUUUGUGGGCUGAGAUUGUGGCUGAAAAGUAGAGGAAAUGGACAUUGGCAGAACUUUUAUCGCGAUAUUAUUUUUGAUGUUUUUUUUUUAACGUUGUUUUUGGCGAUGUUUGCAAUUUUUCGGAUAUUAUUUUUGAUGAUUGAUAGUGUUGAUUUUAUGAUAUGUUUAAAAUUCGAUUCUUU